GGUGGCCGGGAGGCCGCGACAGUCGAUCAUCGUAUGCUGCCGCCGUUGACCCCAGCCACU
Pseudomonas syringae is the source of this 60-nucleotide non-coding RNA. NCBI's taxonomy places the organism in Bacteria, Pseudomonadati, Pseudomonadota, Gammaproteobacteria, Pseudomonadales, Pseudomonadaceae. The record is from Rfam.